UUUUCCGCGGGAUUUUUUCAUUCACAUAUAUUGGACACAGUCAUGGAUAUCAUUUGUUAUGAAAAAGGAGCAAAUAAAUUAAUGAACAGCUUAUUGGCAAAAAAGAACUACCCAUUUCAAACUUCAUAGCCAUGCCAAACUUUGUCUCUUUUUCGCCAAUUAUAGUCCUUUUUCGCGCUUGUUUGUUAUUUGGGAAAAUAUCAUAAGAAAACCACACCACACUUGCAGUCUUGAU
This 235-nucleotide long non-coding RNA is filed under the name Setaria viridis. RNAcentral describes it as "long non-coding RNA (SVIR_LNC002361)". The record is from RNAcentral. Lineage: Eukaryota; Viridiplantae; Streptophyta; Magnoliopsida; Poales; Poaceae.